This 659-nucleotide long non-coding RNA is filed under the name Setaria italica (foxtail millet). RNAcentral's name for it is "long non-coding RNA (SITA_LNC004366)". The record is from RNAcentral. Lineage: Eukaryota; Viridiplantae; Streptophyta; Magnoliopsida; Poales; Poaceae.
ACGCGGGACGAAGUGGGAUCGUCCCGUCCCGUCCCACUUUGUCCUUUCAACCAAACGCACCCUAAGUCACAGACAGUAAGGACAAAGCCAGAGAAUCCAAGGCACCAGAGAUCAAGGAUGGGUGGCCCCUGGCUCCACAAAUUCUGAAGUGGCAAUCAACGAUCCAGACAUGAGGUUUCAGUAGAAGCUACUAGAGGCUGCAACACGCAAUCUUCCUAAAUAUAAAACAUAAGGCGUAAACCGACAACCUAGCCCCAAAUUAAAGUAUCCUCCUGAAUUCACUGGCUCCUCCUUGAAUUGCACAGGUUGCACUCAAAAGUCAAAAUGGCACAAAAUUGCACUAAAUUUGGGCAAGGACUCAAGGUGGCGUCUGAUCAUCCACUGGUAGAGCAGCAGUAAGUGGAAGUAGCGGAAGUAACUGGAGUAACCAUUUAUAGCAACUGCUUUUCACUUUCGAGUGGUAGCACGCAAUUCGAAUUGAUUGCUUCCCAUAACGAAUAAUUGAAAUUCGAAGCAGGAUCGCGAGGAAUUAGAUUGCGCGGGGUGAGGUCAGGUGUCCGGCACAUCACCUGGAUCUUGGCGACGUACUCCUUCUGGAACCGGAUCCUCAUCCCGAGCUCCGGGUCGACGAAGAGGAACUUGCGGAGUCCGUACAUGGC